GACGAACGCUGGCGGCGUGCCUAAUACAUGCAAGUCGAACGCAGUGGGGACGGGUGAGGAACACGUGGGUAACCUCCCAUCAGAGGGGAUAACACUUGGAAACAGGUGCUAAACCGAUACUGAUGGAUGGGCCCGCGGUGGAGGAGCUAGUUGGCGAGGUAACGGAGCGCCAAGGCCACGAUGCAUAGCCGACCUGAGAGGGUGAGAGGGCAACCGGGCACUGAGACACGGCCCAGCCGCCUACGGGAGGCAGCAGGAGGGAAUCGUCGGCAAUGGACGAAAGUCUGACCGAGCGACGCCGCGUGAGUGAAGAAGGUUUUCGGGUCGUAAAACUCUGUUGUUAGAGAAGCGGUAUCUAACCAGAAAGCCACGGCUAACUACGUGCCAGCAGCCGCGGUAAUUC
This 403-nucleotide ribosomal RNA is filed under the name uncultured bacterium. RNAcentral's name for it is "partial 16S ribosomal RNA". It matches the Rfam family "Bacterial small subunit ribosomal RNA", at positions 28 to 526 of the family's 1533-position model. The record is from RNAcentral.